GCCUAACACAUGCAAGUCGAACGGUGGCAGCCAUGUCAUAGUGGCGCACGGGUGCGUAACACGUAGCUAACCUACCCAGAACUGGGGGAUAGCCCGCCGAAAGGCGGAUUAACACCGCAUAACAUCUACUGGUGGCAUCACUAGUUGAUUAAAUCUACGGAGGUUCUGGAUGGGGCUGCGGGUCAUUAGCUAGUUGGUAAGGUAACGGCUUACCAAGGCGACGAUGACUAGGGGAGCUGAGAGGCUGGUCCCCCACACGGGCACUGAGAUACGGGCCCGACUCCUACGGGAGGCAGCAGUAGGGAAUAUUGGGCAAUGGGCGAGAGCCUGACCCAGCCAUGCCGCGUGCAGGAAGAAGGCUUUCUGAGUCGUAAACUGCUUUUGAUAGGGAAGAAUAAGCACUACGUGUAGUGUGAUGACGGUACCUACAGAAUAAGCACCGGCUAACUCCGUGCCAGCAGCCGCGGUAAU
This 471-nucleotide ribosomal RNA is filed under the name uncultured bacterium. RNAcentral's name for it is "bacterial SSU rRNA". It matches the Rfam family "Bacterial small subunit ribosomal RNA", at positions 46 to 524 of the family's 1533-position model. The record is from RNAcentral.